Ooceraea biroi (clonal raider ant) is the source of this 711-nucleotide long non-coding RNA. RefSeq lists it as uncharacterized. NCBI's taxonomy places the organism in Eukaryota, Metazoa, Arthropoda, Insecta, Hymenoptera, Formicidae. The record is from RefSeq and is a predicted model, not a curated record.
GUAAGUAGAGCUAAAAUAAUAAGAUGCAAAUAAUAACAUAAUUCUCCUAGUUUCUUUUUCAUGUAACUAACACAAUGUAUGAUUAAUUACAAUGUCGAUUCACGGAUCAGGUGCACAAGUUUCGUGAUAUCCGCUACCACAGAUAAGCAAAAAGGUCCUCACAUAAUUUUAAUUAUGCGGCGCCUCGUUCGGAGAGUUGAAUGUAAAAUCUAAAAAUGCAACGGCUUAUUAAAACUAAUACAUUAUUAAAACAAGCAUAAGAGACAGUAAACAUUAAUUAAAUUAAAAUUAGAUAGAUUUCGUUUGUGUUUAGUAAUAAUAAAAAUAUCUUUAUUAGUAUGCAUACUGCUACUGCUUCUUUUUAGAGGUAUCAGAAUUCUUUAUUAUAUAUUAUUAUAAUUUCGUAAAUGACUUUUGACUUAAAAAAUCUACCACAUAAACAUCUCGUAACAAUUCGUCAAAACAAUAAGUCCCAGGGAGUCAAGUUACCAACGAUCAUCUUGCGGCCUGAAGAGGGCAUCGGAUGAGCCACAAAUAGGAUUAUCCUCCAGUGUAGACUGGACAAAAGCUAUAGUAUGUUUGCCAUUUAGAAUUUUAUCUACAGCCGGAAAUAUUCAAUAAUACAUUAUCGGCAAAUUUGCCGACCGGCGAUAACUGUUUCAUCGAUAAUGUAGAUUCCUACUAUAUUUAAAAGUUACAAAAUAGAAAAAA